Molecule: non-coding RNA, 73 nt
Organism: Acanthoscelides obtectus
Lineage: Eukaryota; Metazoa; Arthropoda; Insecta; Coleoptera; Chrysomelidae
Source: the annotation of a GenBank genome assembly
GCCUAUGUAGCUCAGCGGCAGAGCAUUGGUCGUAUACGCCAGGAGUCGUGAGUUCAAUCCUCCACAGGAGGCA